CAUGAACUUAGCUUGCUAAGUUUGAUGGCGACCGGCGCACGGGUGAGUAACGCGUAUCCAACCUUCCGUACACUCAGGGAUAGCCUUUCGAAAGAAAGAUUAAUACCUGAUGGUAUGAUGGGAUUGCAUGUUAGCAUCAUUAAAGAUUCAUCGGUGUACGAUGGGGAUGCGUUCCAUUAGAUAGUAGGCGGGGUAACGGCCCACCGUACCGACGAUGCGUAGGGGUCCUGAGAGGAAGGCCCCCCCACCACUGGUACUGAGACACGGACCAGACUCC
This 277-nucleotide ribosomal RNA is filed under the name uncultured Bacteroidota bacterium. RNAcentral's name for it is "uncultured Bacteroidetes bacterium partial 16S ribosomal RNA". It matches the Rfam family "Bacterial small subunit ribosomal RNA", at positions 70 to 339 of the family's 1533-position model. The record is from RNAcentral. Lineage: Bacteria; Pseudomonadati; Bacteroidota.